AGUGAACGCUGGCGGUAGGCCUAACACAUGCAAGUCGAACGGCAGCACAGUAAGAGCUUGCUCUUACGGGUGGCGAGUGACGGACGGGUGAGGAAUUCAUCGGAAUCUACUUUUUCGUGGGGGAUAACGUAGGGAAACUUACGCUAAUACCGCAUACGACCUACGGGUGAAAGCAGGGGAUCUUCGGACCUUGCGCGAUUGAAUGAGCCGAUGUCGGAUUAGCUAGUUGGCGGGGUAAAGGCCCACCAAGGCGACGAUCCGUAGCUGGUCUGAGAGGAUGAUCAGCCACACUGGAACUGAGACACGGUCCAGACUCCUACGGGAGGCAGCAGUGGGGAAUAUUGGACAAUGGGCGCAAGCCUGAUCCAGCCAUACCGCGUGGGUGAAGAAGGCCUUCGGGUUGUAAAGCCCUUUUGUUGGGAAAGAAAAGCAGCAGGUUAAUACCCCGCUGUUCUGACGGUACCCAAAGAAUAAGCACCGGCUAACUUCGUG
Molecule: ribosomal RNA, 492 nt
Filed under: uncultured bacterium
Lineage: Bacteria
Description: partial 16S ribosomal RNA
Rfam family: Bacterial small subunit ribosomal RNA
Source: RNAcentral